GAACAAUUUUGCUGCGACCCCAGGAUGGGAUGCCUGGGAUGGCCCCCCUCCGCGCUGAGCUAAACCCCCAGCAGAGCUGAAGCCCCUCACUACACCAUUCCAGCCACCACCCUGGCAGCGUGGCUGCCUCUCCGCCCUUCCCUGGGGGCAGGAAUGCUGUUUCUGCUGAAACCCUAAGCGGAGACCAGGUGCUAUAAGGAGAUAAUCCAAAUGGAACCAGGUGUUAAUGAAUGAAGACCGUCCUUCAUCUUGCUCCAGGUUUCUGGCUGUGAUUUUCUUCUCUCCUAUUUGUGGUGGGCUUAACUGUUUGCACUGGCACCACCCUGGGCUUCCUGUUGACAAUUUCUGUUAGAAUUUUAAGAAUGCCACAGAGAGAGGGAGAGAGUGAACAGAGGACAGAUUCUAGGUAGACAGCAGUCAGGGAAAGAAUAUGCAGUAAUCUUGAGUUGGGGAAGAAGGGACAGAAAUGUUUUUUAGAGAAAGUGAAGACAUUGUCAGGACUCAGGGAAAUGCGGUAAGUCUCUCUGUCAGCAAAGCAUUUAUUGAGCACCUACUCCAUACGGGCUCAGCUUCGACACGAGAUUCCAAGGACCUGGGAGGCCUGAUUCCUGCCUUUGAGUGCUUAGAGUUUAAUGGACAAUCAGAAGAACAGAGAAAGAAUCACAGCAGUCUGGCUGAAUGUGCCAAUCAUACAGUUCCCAAGGGUUUCCGGCUGAAGGAACAAUUGGAUGUAAUUAACCAAAAGCCUUCCUGAAAGAGGCAGUUUGUCAGAGAUGAAGGUCAUGGGUUGAAGGAAAGGAGCUCAGGGUCCAGGACAGCAGGUGCAAAGGCUUAAUGCUAAUGGGUUGUCCCAGAGGGUGAAAGAAGCCCCCUCCUCAACUGCUCUGUGAGUCUCCCUUCACCUUGAGCCCUCUUUCACUGGCCCAGCAGGGACCGAGCAGGGGGCUGCUAAUGGUCUAACCUCGCUGGAUCGCAGGACUCCAAAGAACGGGUAGAGGAAGGCAGGCACCAGGGCUGCAGCUCCAAGAGGCACCGCCUCGGACACCCAGUACACAGCAGUCACGAUCAACACUCUGACCACCCCGAUGAAAUACCAUUCAGGCUCCACUGGAAGGAGCUUGAGGUCAUGUCAUUUGGUGUCAUAAAUGACUGGAAGGGCUUUUGAAAAUUUAGCUUGGGAGUUGGGUGUAACUUUUAUCCCACCGGGAUGCUGAAGCUGGGCUUCGUUGCAGAUGCCGCCCUCUUGACCUUCCUCUUCUGCGUAUGGGAAAUCAAGUCUCGGCCCCUGGCUUUAGAGAGCUGGGCAGGAAAAAAGGGGAGGUCAUACUGAUCCUUCCUAAAAUGCAGCUGCAGCUUGUCACUUUGAAGAAGCAUCAGAACUGCAGGCCAGGAGCUCUUGCCCAGAUCACUUCUCUCAGUUCCAGCCCAGAGCAAACGAGGCUAUUUAGGGAUCUUAAGGAUUAAAGAUCAGAAUCUAAGUGUGAUGCGAGGGGGCCGAAUAGAUGAGAGCCAGUCCGCGGG
Aethalodelphis obliquidens (Pacific white-sided dolphin) is the source of this 1521-nucleotide long non-coding RNA. RefSeq lists it as uncharacterized. The record is from RefSeq and is a predicted model, not a curated record. The transcript is spliced from 3 exons. NCBI's taxonomy places the organism in Eukaryota, Metazoa, Chordata, Mammalia, Artiodactyla, Delphinidae.